This 253-nucleotide ribosomal RNA is filed under the name uncultured bacterium. Its description in RNAcentral is "partial 16S ribosomal RNA". It matches the Rfam family "Bacterial small subunit ribosomal RNA", at positions 524 to 776 of the family's 1533-position model. The record is from RNAcentral.
UACGUAGGGGGCUAGCGUUGCUCGGAAUCACUGGGCGUAAAGCGCACGUAGGCGGAUUGCUAAGUCAGGGGUGAAAUCCUGGAGCUCAACUCCAGAACUGCCUUUGAUACUGGCGACCUUGAGUCCGGGAGAGGUGAGUGGAACUGCGAGUGUAGAGGUGAAAUUCGUAGAUAUUCGCAAGAACACCAGUGGCGAAGGCGGCUGACUGGUCCGGUUCUGACGCUGAGGCGCGAAAGCGUGGGGAGCAAACAGG